This 58-nucleotide microRNA precursor is filed under the name Taeniopygia guttata (zebra finch). Its description in RNAcentral is "Tgu-Mir-17-P1c_pre stem-loop". It matches the Rfam family "mir-17 microRNA precursor family", at positions 12 to 80 of the family's 80-position model. Rfam says of the family: This family represents the microRNA (miRNA) precursor mir-17, family, which includes mir-20, mir-91, and mir-103. miRNAs are transcribed as ~70nt precursors (modelled here) and subsequently processed by the Dicer enzyme to give a ~22nt product. In this case the mature sequence comes from the 3' arm of the precursor. The extents of the hairpin precursors are not generally known and are estimated based on hairpin prediction. The record is from RNAcentral. Lineage: Eukaryota; Metazoa; Chordata; Aves; Passeriformes; Estrildidae.
AAAAGUGCUUACAGUGCAGGUAGAGUUCAGGAUCUACUGCAGUUUAAGCACUUCUGGC